AUUGAACGCUGGCGGCAGGCCGAACACAUGCAAGUAGAACGAGUGGCGGACGGGUGAGUAAUGUCUGGGAAACUGCCUGAUGGAGGGGGAUAACUACCGGAAACGGUAGCUAAUACCGCAUACCAUCGGAUGUGCCCAGAUGGGAUUAGCUAGUAGGUGGGGCAACGGCUCACCUAGGCGACGAUCCCGAGCUGGUCUGAGAGGAUGACCAGGCACACUGGAACUGAGACACGGUCCCAACUCCUGCUGGAGGCAGCAGUGGGGAAUAUUGCACAAUGGGCGCAGACCUGAUGCAGACAUGCAGCUUGUAUGAAGAAGGCCUACGGGUUGUAAAGUACUUUCUGCGGGGAGGCGUUACCAACAGGAUAAGCACCAGCUAACUUCGUGCCAGCAGCCGCGGUAAUAC
RNAcentral lists this ribosomal RNA (406 nucleotides) under uncultured bacterium. RNAcentral's name for it is "partial 16S ribosomal RNA". It matches the Rfam family "Bacterial small subunit ribosomal RNA", at positions 30 to 526 of the family's 1533-position model. The record is from RNAcentral.